UAAGUAAUGGGAUAAUUCUGGAUUGAAUAUUUUUAAAAAAUAACUUAAUAAUUCUCUUCAAACAAUGGAGUAAUAAAGUGAUGCUUUAGACUUCGCUAACCACUGUGCAAAGACCACCUCCACAACAGCUGAUCAUAGUUGCUUCCGAUCAAUGUGCAAUCGCCAUCGCCUCUAACCACUGCUGACGACGUGAAAAGGAGAAGUUAUACAUCAUCACCAUUGAAGAACUCGAAUCCUUUCACAGAGUGCACAAGGUCAUCAUCCACAAUAGAGCGUAUCCGCCUUUUUUUACUCAGUGUCGCAAUGCCGUCCGCCCUCCUCUCCGCCCCUCACUACCGCCAAAUCAUCGGCUUCCCGGUCAAGUGGCACUUGAGCUUCAUGCACAGCGUCCACCAUCCUGUCGCCGCCCCUACAUUGACAAUUGUUGCCUCGUCCACCAGAUUUUCAAGGGAGCGAUCUCCCUAGGUUGAUUCGCAAUGCUUCGGCAACCCAAUGCUCGUCUUUGCCGAUGUCCAAAUCGCCUCUAUUAUAGUGAACCAGCGAGGACUACGGUCUGGAGGAGGAUGGCUGUGGAUCUAGUGACGCUGGCGAUGAAGGAGACGAACCGUAGGGAAUUGAAGAGAGCGGGUUUGAGAAGCCAGUGAGGAAGCUCAAGCAAUGAGAUCUAGAUAUUGCAGGAGAUUAUGUUGCACAAAUGAGAUUUCCAAAUAUUUUUAAUUCUAUCUUAAAUAACAUCAAACAUCAAACAUGCGAUGAAAUACAAUCCUAAGGAUAUUUGGAGAAUUACUAAUCCUAUCUUAUUCUAUUCAAUCCCAAUCCAAAUUCAUAAGGUGGGAAAAUUAUUUGGUUAUUGUCGCGACCAAUUUUUUCGGGGUUUAAACCACCUAGGGUUUGGCUAAUGGAUUGUUAAGCCUAGACUUAACUCGGGCUCUCCCAAGCCCAUACCAAUUCACGACUUAGGUUCAAGUUUAUAACAUGCAAAUGAUUUUUUAAUUAGGAGUCGCCACUAAUCUAUUUUUUGGUGGAUCGAUUAGAAACCCAAGUAAAGUAACGGGAGAUUCACUUUACUCCUACGAACCAGAGACUAUGGGUACGGGGACUUGAUUACACUAGAUUCCUCUAAUGCCCUUUCGGUACCUUUCUUUUUAUUUUGAAAAAUGUUUGGCAAGCAGUUUUGAUUGAUUUUAAUUCAUUAACAUGUGAAGUGAUCAUGCAGGUGCGCAAACCACCAAUUUAACACUCAAGAAAGCAAAUGAAUAAAUUGCAGGACUUAUCUCAUAGCAACGAAAGCAUCUGCGUUGUUAGUUUAGAAUUCACAUCAGCAGUCCUAAAUAUGAUUUCUAAUUAACACGCAAUUUUUGUUUUGUUUUCACUUAAUUAAUGAAAAUCAUGCGAUAUGCAAUGCAUGCCACUAAUUUAACAUGAAAUGAUAUGACAUGGCAACAUGACUUAGUUAUAUGACCUAAGCAAUAUGACAUAACUAAGCAUGUAGUCUAUCCUAAGCAUGAGAUGAUUUAUUCUAAAUAAUAAUUUUUUUUGUAUUUUCUAUGAGAUUCAAAAUUAAAGAAAUGCAACAUUUAAAUAUGCAAUCUAAAUUAAUCUAAUGACCUAAUUCUAAUGACGGGCAAUUUCUAAUUAAAUGCAUCUAACAAAAAUCACUAAAUGACGUGCAUUGUAUGAAACUAAUUCUAUAUGACGUGCACAUGAUUUUUAUUUUCCUAAUAAGCAUGCAAUCUAUUUAGGAGAAAUUAUUUAAACCUAUAAUAUGCAAUCUUAACAUGCAAUGACGUACAAAAUAUGCCAUAAUUCUACAUGACAUGCAAAUGCAAUUUUUUUGUAUUUUCGGGAUAAACAAAACAAUUAAGAGAUAAACAUCAAACCAUCCAUGAUCGUCAAAAUGCUAUCCACCAUUCGAAUUGAAAUUCAAACUUAUUUAUUUCGCUAAUAAAAUCGAUAAAUUGAUCUUAAGCCUUAAAGAUCAAGAUAUCAAUUUUACUCCCGCGUGGUUAAUUAUUCCAUCUAAAGCCUUAUAGAUGGAAUAAAAAAUCCGUGUGCGGUUGCGAAUUAGGAACAAAUCCUAAUAGAUUUUACCUGUUACUUGAGGAGAUCUAAUAUGCAGCAAGUAGGAAAUAAAAUAUUCAAAUUAUUUUGGAUAAGAAAUCUUACCUAAUUUGAAUAUUGUACGUAUAUUGCUUCCCAAUUCGAAUUUGUCGGGGGCUCGCAAAUGGUGAUUCACGUAGCACGGUUAUGACGAUGGUUCAGCCAAGUAUCUCGCCGGAAUGAGAACUCAUGGCAACGAGGAGCAAUUGAACUGGCUGAGCUUGGCAAUGGACUUCUUCUCGCAUGCAGGAAUCGUGUGUCUUGCCAGUCGAAGUCCUCAGUUGCCACUUCCUUUCCGAUUGUUUUUUAUUUCUUGGACUCACGGCUGUUGGCUUUCUCUGACAAUAUUAUCGACUUGGGUUAGCAAGAUUUUAUGGAAAAAGACAAAACCCACCUCUUAAGACUCAUGGCCUUCAAUCCUCAUCUUUGGAUGAAUCGUUUUCUCGAUGACGGAGAUAAUAAGAAGGGAUCAUAAAAAAAACCAGCAAAGAUGGCAGCUCUGGUGUCUUGCUAGAGAAUCUCCAACGAUCAGAUCGGCAACAUAGGGAUGCCGUCAAUGGGCCACGACACACAACAGAUCGAUGUGUGGUCUCAGAGCAGUAGCGGGAGUAGCAACGGAGUUGUGGCGAAGAUCGAGAGGGAGCUAUGUCUUUGUGGGUGCAAUGAACUUCAUGACCAGCAACGCAACGGACUCAUCAGAACAGGCUAGAAAUCAACGCAGCGAGUUGUCUCUGGAACAAAGAGUGUGGCGUCGGAGCAUGAGACCCGCGGGAGGAGCAUCGGUCGUCAGAAGUAAAGCGCCGCAAACUGAUGAAAGCAAGGUCACGGCCAAGACGGGGCUCAACCGCGACGCGCUCUUCUCCGUCUCUAUCUCUCUUAAAAGUGCCGUAUAUUCAAUGUCCUCCUUUUUCAGAAUUGAGGCCGCAUGUAUCAAUUGUGUG
Molecule: long non-coding RNA, 3041 nt
Filed under: Eucalyptus grandis
Lineage: Eukaryota; Viridiplantae; Streptophyta; Magnoliopsida; Myrtales; Myrtaceae
Description: long non-coding RNA (EGRA_LNC003851)
Source: RNAcentral